AAGUGAAAUCGAUAAUCAAAUAAUGAGUAAACGUUCGAAAUGAUUUGAACUUUCCAAGAUUGAAGAUUCGAAUUACUUCGAAUAUAAUUCGAAGUCUAAAAAUUUUGCAAAGCAUCUUAUAAUAACUUUCAAAAAUUCUAGAUUUUCAAUUAUAUUCGAAAUGAUCUGAAUUUUUCGUCACAUUUAAAAGUGUUUCAAAUCCCAUCAUUGCAAAUGAUUAUAAUUAUUAUCACUAAUAAUAAUAAUGAGCCCUUCGAGAGUCGGCAGAAAACUUGAGUCACCGAAGGCAGCCGAAGGUGAGCAUGCGUCGCAGGGCCAACCGAGUUUAGCCGAGACAAGGCGAAACGAACCGAACGAAUCAAACGAACCAAGCGAAGCGACGUGGAUACAAGAGCGUUGUUAGGUCAUUGACUGCCGGUGGCCACCGAUCCGCGAGUAUCCAAGGACAGCCGCUCCGACGCCUCGCGAUCUCUUUCUCUCUCUACCCAUUUUCCCGUUCUUCCGACCUCUCUUUCUUUGAUUCUCUUUUCCUUCUAUUCGGUCUUAUCAUCUCAUUUCAUUCUGUUCCGUUUAGAAAAAAGCUAUUGGAUGAAUAUCGUAUGAUAUUAAAAGUUUGCAAUUGACUAAUGAUAGUAAGUAUCCCAGUAAUCUUUAAUAAAUGAAGAAAAACAUGUUCAAAAUAUAGUCUUUGAAUCAUUCAAGAAUAUAUAUUAUAUCGUAUUAUUGGAAUACUUGAAUGCGAAUAUACUCAUAUGACUUCAAAUAAAACUAAAUUACAGAAAUUGUGUCGUAAAAUUUUCAAGCGUAUAAUAAUCAGCUUCAGCUAAUAGAACAAGUUAAAGAGUGAAAUUUGGUAUACAAGAAUCUUUUCAGAAUUUAAAUAUUUCUUUUUAUCUUUAACUUACGUUUACAAUCGAUUCGAAGGUAAUAUAUAAUUCUUCUUCGAUGGCAUGAACCUUGUCCCUCAACUUGGAUGAUCAUUUGAUCCUAAUAAAAUAUGAUUGUACAAUUUCGUUGCAAGAUAUCCAAUGAUAGCAAUAAUAAAUGGAAGAUUUUCCAAAAGCUGACAGAAUAUAAAUGCACAGAAAUUUAUUAUUUUCGAUGAGUAUUACAAUUAUAAAAUGUGAAUCGAUAUAUAAUAAAAAU
Molecule: long non-coding RNA, 1146 nt
Organism: Apis dorsata (giant honeybee)
Lineage: Eukaryota; Metazoa; Arthropoda; Insecta; Hymenoptera; Apidae
Exons: 4
Source: RefSeq, a predicted model, not a curated record